UAACGAUUAAAAGGUUUAGCGGGUUAUGGAUGGGGAUGCGUCUGAUUAGCUUGUUGGCGGGGUAACGGCCCACCAAGGCUACGAUCAGUAGGGGUUCUGAGAGGAAGGUCCCCCCACAUUGGAACUGAGACACGGUCCAAACUCCUACGGGAGGCAGCAGUGAGGAAUAUUGGUCAAUGGGGCGAGAGCCUGAACCAGCCAAGUAGCGUGCAGGAUGACGGCCCUAUGGUUGUAAACUGCUUUUAUGUGGGGAUAAAGUGCGUGACGUGUCAUGCAUUGCAGGUACCACAUGAAUAAGGACCGGCUAAUUCCGUGCCAGCAGCCGCGGUAAU
Molecule: ribosomal RNA, 332 nt
Filed under: uncultured Prevotella sp.
Lineage: Bacteria; Pseudomonadati; Bacteroidota; Bacteroidia; Bacteroidales; Prevotellaceae
Description: bacterial SSU rRNA
Rfam family: Bacterial small subunit ribosomal RNA
Source: RNAcentral